GGUCUGAUUCUGGCUCAGAUUGAACGCUUAUGGGAUGCUUUACGCAAGUCGAACGGCAGCACGGACUUCGGACCGGUGGCGAGUGGCGAACGGGUGAGUAAUGUAUCGAACGUGCCUAGUAGCGGGGAUAACUACGCUGAAAGCGUGAAGCCACACACCCGCAUACGCCCUUCGGGGGAAAGCGGGGAACUCCCGCCGGCUCCGCACUAUUAGAGCAACAUAUCGGAUUAGCUAGUUGGUGGGGUAACGGCUCAUCGCGACGAUCCGUGGCUGGUCGAGAGGGACGACCAGCCACACUGGGACUGAGACACGGCCCAGACUCCUACGGGAGGCAGCAGUGGGGAAUUCUGUGGACAAUGGGGGAAACCCUGAUCCAGCCAUCCCGCGUGUGCGUGAUGAAGGCCUUCUGGCCAGAAAGCACUUUUUGGCAGUGAAAGAAACGGCACGGAUAAUACCCCGUGCAACUGACGGUACCGCAGAAUAAGCACCGGUUAACUACGCCAGCAGCCGCGGUAAUACGUAGGGUGCAAGCGUUAAUCAUGGAAAUUACUGGGCGCAGCGGCAGGCGGUUCGGAAAGAAAGAUGUGAAAUCCCAGAGCUUAACUUUGAACUGCAUUUUUAACUACCGAGCUAGAGGUGGGGUCAGGAGGGAGGUGGAAUUCCGCGUGUGGCAGGAAAUGCAGAUAUGGAGGAACACCGAUGGCGAAGGCAGCCUCCUGGGAUAACACUGACGCUCAUGUACGAAAGCGUGGGGAGCAAACAGGAGUUAUCAUUAUUAGAUAAUUCUGGUAAAUCACGCCCGGAAACGAUGUCAACUAGCUGUUGGGGCCUUCGCCUUGUAGCAGCUAACGCGUGAAGUUGACCGCCUGGGGAGCAUGGUCGCAAGAUUAAAACUCAAGAAUUAGAUUUGUGACUGCACAAGGGUGAUGAUGUGGAUUAAUCUGAUGCAACGCGAAAAACCUACCUACCCUUGACAUGUCUAAAUCCCGGUGAAGCAGAUUGGGAGUGCUCGCAGAACCGAACACAGGUGCUGCAUGGCUGUCGUCAGCCCGUCGUGAGAUGUUGCUGUCUCGCAACGAGCGCAACCUUGUCAUUAGUUGCUACGAAAGGGCACUCUAAUGAGACUGGUGACAAACCUGGAGGAAGGUGGGGAUGACGUCAAGUCCUCAUGGCCCUUAUGGGUAGGGCUUCACACGUCAUACAAUGGUCGGGACAGAAGGUCGCCAACCCGCGAGGGGGAGCCAAUCCCAGAAACCCGAUCGUAGUCCGGAUCGCAGUUCGCAACUCGACUGCGUGAAGUCGGAAUCGCUAGUAAUCGCGGAUCACGUCGCGGUGAAUACGUUCCCGGGUCUUGUACACCAGUCUGCUCAGAAUUGGGGAGUGGGUUUACUUAGCGUAGUUAGCCUAACCGUAAGGAGGGCGAUUACCACGGUAGGAUUCAUGACUGGGGUGAAGUCGUAACAAACGCAGCUCUGUUACUAGCAAUAAUACGUAAAUCAACGAAGCAUAAAU
RNAcentral lists this ribosomal RNA (1512 nucleotides) under uncultured Bordetella sp. RNAcentral's name for it is "partial 16S-23S ribosomal RNA intergenic spacer". It matches the Rfam family "Bacterial small subunit ribosomal RNA". Lineage: Bacteria; Pseudomonadati; Pseudomonadota; Betaproteobacteria; Burkholderiales; Alcaligenaceae. The record is from RNAcentral.